GCGAAAGCAGGUCAUAGUGAUCCGGUGGUUCUGAAUGGAAGGGCCAUCGCUCAACGGAUAAAAGGUACUCCGGGGAUAACAGGCUGAUACCGCCCAAGAGUUCAUAUCGACGGCGGUGUUUGGCACCUCGAUGUCGGCUCAUCACAUCCUGGGGCUGAAGUAGGUCCCAAGGGUAUGGCUGUUCGCCAUUUAAAGUGGUACGCGAGCUGGGUUUAGAACGUCGUGAGACAGUUCGGUCCCUAUCUGCCGUGGGCGCUGGAGAACUGAGGGGGGCUGCUCCUAGUACGAGAGGACCGGAGUGGACGCAUCACUGGUGUUCGGGUUGUCAUGCCAAUGGCACUGCCCGGUAGCUAAAUGCGGAAGAGAUAAGUGCUGAAAGCAUCUAAGCACGAAACUUGCCCCGAGAUGAGUUCUCCCUGACUCCUUGAGAGUCCUGAAGGAACGUUGAAGACGACGACGUUGAUAGGCCGGAUGUGUAAGCGCAGCGAUGCGUUGAGCUAACCGGUACUAAUGAACCGUGAGGCUUAACCUU
RNAcentral lists this ribosomal RNA (532 nucleotides) under Escherichia coli. Its description in RNAcentral is "partial 23S ribosomal RNA". It matches the Rfam family "Bacterial large subunit ribosomal RNA", at positions 2399 to 2925 of the family's 2925-position model. The record is from RNAcentral. Lineage: Bacteria; Pseudomonadati; Pseudomonadota; Gammaproteobacteria; Enterobacterales; Enterobacteriaceae.